UAUGCUCUAUUUGCUGAAGAGGGUUCAGUGCAGUGUCUUCAAAGGUCGGGAAAAAAUGUUAUGAUGCAGAGGGGACAUCAUCUUGAAGGGAGCAAUGUUUUGAUACUUGCUUUAUAGGAAUUCUCUUUCUUUGCCUAGAACUUGUGAUUUAUGGCUGAUGACUAUUCCAUCUUUGCAGGUGCUUCUCAAUUAUAGAUGGAAAACUUGCCAUGGAGGCACAUAGCUUGCUGAUUUUGUUUCUGGAUUGGCCCUUGAGAGGGAGACCGACGCAAACUUCAGCAGGUUUCAGGUCUGCGACCUCUAUUCCUUGUGUUUGUUUCCCUCGCUGAGCUUGGGCAUUGUACAUUUUGGUAAAUAUAGUUAGUUACUUUGUUUACUGGCAAUUGUGAAUAUUCAGAGCACAUACAUGCUUGGUUUACUUCAGUUAGUACCUGCCAUUCAGUAAUCAGGCCUGAAGAAAGUGUGCCUCCCUAUUUUGUGCACAUAAAUACUUAGCUUACUGUGACCAAAUUAAGUAAACUUAUACAAUAAGCUUCUUCAUUGUUUCACUUGUGGAAACUAAACUACUACUGUGUUAAAUUCAUUAUAGUCAUCUUUAAAGGAGUUGUGGUUGGUUGCCAUUGUGUUGAAGUAAUUUCUUGCUGAAGC
Molecule: long non-coding RNA, 648 nt
Filed under: Triticum aestivum (bread wheat)
Lineage: Eukaryota; Viridiplantae; Streptophyta; Magnoliopsida; Poales; Poaceae
Description: long non-coding RNA (TAES_LNC018438)
Source: RNAcentral